Molecule: unclassified non-coding RNA, 348 nt
Filed under: soil metagenome
Description: partial contains 5.8S ribosomal RNA, internal transcribed spacer 2, and large subunit ribosomal RNA
Rfam family: 5.8S ribosomal RNA (bases 5-119)
Source: RNAcentral
GAUGAGAACGUAGCGAAAUGCGAUACGUAAUGUGAAUUGCAGAAUUCAGUGAAUCAUCGAGUCUUUGAACGCACAUUGCGCCCCCUGGUAUUCCGGGGGGCAUGCCUGUCCGAGCGUCAUUGCUGCCCUCAAGCACGGCUUGUGUGUUGGGCCUCCGCCCCCCGGCUCCCGGGGGGCGGGCCCGAAAGGCAGCGGCGGCACCGCGUCCGGUCCUCGAGCGUAUGGGGCUUCGUCACCCGCUCCGUAGGCCCGGCCGGCGCCCGCCGGCGACCCCCCUCAAUCUUUCCAGGUUGACCUCGGAUCAGGUAGGGAUACCCGCUGAACUUAAGCAUAUCAAUAAGCGGAGGA